UUCAAUGCUAAAAGAAAAAUGUGCAGGGUUCCCAAACUAAUAGCUAUGGCAACUGGGGUGGAAGAAGUUCUGCCUCCACCACUUACUUCUACUUCAGUUCCACCUUCAUUGUUUGAUGGAACAGCGAGAUAUGAAUCUGAUAAUGGAAACUCUUCCUUUUUUGGUUUAUGGUGACAUGUGGUUGAAGGUUGUAUAUCUCUUACCAAUGCCCCUAUGCUCAGCGUGUAUGGAUCACCCGUAACUGUAAGGUUAUUAAAAAAACACACCGUGACCUUGUCCUAUCUUAUUCUUGGAAAAACACACCCGCAAACGUGAUUUUACACAUCUUAAUAUAUUAAUGGAAAAACUAUAAUUUGUCACGUUGAAUUUAACGUGGAUUGAAGAAGCAAGAUUUUGACAUGUUAAGUUUAAUGUGGAUCCACGUUAAAUUCAAUGGAAUUUGUGUGUGUCUUGUGUUAGGAUUUAACUGUUUGGCACUCUGGAUUGGCCAGGUUAGCUUGAGAAACAAUUGGAUACCUUACCAAGAAUGUGUUUGGAUGUAUAUCUACUACUAGUUCCAAGUUUACAAAGAGUUAGAGUUGAUUCCUUACAACCAUAAUCAAUUUUUGAAAACAAUCAUGGCUUAAAAGCAACUUUGGUCCCCCACGAUUACCUUUUGCGUGCUAGUAGUCCCCCACAAAAUUUAAUUGCACUUUAGAACCCUGACUAUUAGCUCCGUUAGCAACUUUAGUUUUCCAUCUAAAAUCCGUCAAAAAUCUAACGAUUCUCUCUCCUGUGGCACCUGACUAAUGACGUGGCUGACAAAUUGGAGAGAGAAAGGGCCACUCAAGUCAUCACGUGCAAGUCACGUGACUCCAUCACCUGCCUUCACCCUAAAUUGAACCCUAGGGGCCAAAAUUGCCCCAAUCUGAAAAAAGAAGCAGUGUUCAUUCUCCAUUGACGGAGGCAACGAGGUUUCAAGGCGAUCCCUGCGAGAAGCACGACGACAAUUGAAAUGGCAAGGAAGAGGACUCCAAAGAAGAGAACCUCGAAGAAGGAUAACCCAACGAAGUUGCAGAACGAUAAUGGUAGUGGUCUCAGCGAAAAUCGAAGUCAACCGGAACCGGAGGUGGUCCCUGAGAGAAGCACGACGGUGUUCCUUGAGAGAAGCACAACGGUGGUCCCUCAGAGGAGCACAGCUAAUCUUUUUGCUUUAUGGGACACUCUUCCUACAAACCAUGUGGCUAUACCUACUGUGCCUCAUAAGCCUGAUAUUAAUGUAUUCCAUGGGGGCAAAAUGACCUUUAACCCAACCGACCCAUAUGUGAACGGGGAUUGUAAGGUACUCCAAGACUGGGAUAUGGAUGAGAUUUCAUCAAUUGAGUUGGGUAACCUUGUGAAGAAUUUGGGGUAUCCCAACUUUAAAGGGUUGUGGUAUAAGCACCCUACUAUUGUUGGGUCAAGUGGGAUGAGACCACUCAAUUGUGAUGCUGACAUUAGGUGCUUCUUGGAAGAUGUGAAAGGACAAACUAAAGUGGACAUAUUUGUUGACCACAUUGAAACUGUACAAAGCAACAAGGUUGUCAUUGAUGAAGUGGUUGUAGAGCCUGAAGUGGAAAUUGUGAGGGAGGAGAGUGUGGUAGAGCCUGAGAGUGAAGUUGUGACUGGAAACCAGAAAAAUAAAGUUACAAAGGAAGUUGAGAGAAGAGGAUCUGGAAGAGUUGAAAAUGAAGAGUCUGAACCAGAAAAAUAAAGUUACAAAGGAAGUUACAAAGGAACAUUUUGCUACUUGUCGAUGAAUUGCAGAGGUCGAAAAUGGCUUCUCCCCCCUUUUCUAGGGUUCCGGAAUACAAGAUGACCGUUGGGGAAGAAAGCAGGUGAUGGAGUCACGUGACUUGCACGUGAUGACUUGAGUGGCCCUUUCUCUCUCCAAUUUGUCAGCCACGUCAUUAGUCAGGUGCCACAGGAGAGAGAAUCGUUAGACUUUUGACGGAUUUUAGAUGGAAAACUAAAGUUGCUAACGGAGCUAAUAGUCAGGGUUCUAAAGUGUAAUUAAAUUUUGUGGGGGACUACUAGCACGCAAAAGGGAUUGCAGAACCAGAUAGAAUUGGUUCCUAUUGAUCUACAAGAUAGGCCUUCCUGGUAUAAGGAGAAAGUCUACCCACCUAACAAGGUUCCAUCCCUUGAACACAAUAAUGAAGUCAGAGGAGAGAGUCUCGAUCUCA
RNA transcript from Lotus japonicus, 2204 nucleotides. It is a transcript of the gene named protein IN2-1 homolog B-like, with no coding region annotated. The transcript is spliced from 6 exons. Lineage: Eukaryota; Viridiplantae; Streptophyta; Magnoliopsida; Fabales; Fabaceae. The record is from RefSeq and is a predicted model, not a curated record.